RNAcentral lists this ribosomal RNA (439 nucleotides) under uncultured bacterium. RNAcentral's name for it is "bacterial SSU rRNA". It matches the Rfam family "Bacterial small subunit ribosomal RNA", at positions 958 to 1392 of the family's 1533-position model. The record is from RNAcentral.
AACGCGAAGAACCUUACCUGGGCUUGACAUGCAUCUCUAAGGCGGUGAAAGCCGUUGAGUCCCGCAGGGGACAAUUUGCACAGGUGCUGCAUGGCUGUCGUCAGUUCGUGUCGUGAGAUGUUGGGUUAAGUCCCGCAACGAGCGCAACUCCUGUGAUCUGUUGCUAACCGGCUUGUCCGGAGCACUCUGGUCAGACUGCCCUGUGAAACGGGGAGGAAGGUGGGGAUGACGUCAAGUCAGCGUGGCCCUUACGCCUAGGGCUGCACACGUACUACAAUGCUCAAUACAGAAUGAACCGAAACCGCGAGGUGGAGGAAAUCCCUAAAACUGACCCCAAUUCGGAUCGCAGGCUGCAACUCGCCUGCGUGAAGCCGGAAUCGCUAGUAAUGGCGCAUCACCUACGGCGCCGUGAAUACUUUCCCGGGCCUUGUACACACCG